AUAUAAAUAUCAUUCUCUAACAAUUUACAUUUUUAGAGUACAACCAGCAAGAGGUUCUGAGUUUAGCAUUACUAAUUUUUUCUUAUUUAGUUGAAGUUCACGUCAUGGGCUUUGCAAAAAAUCUUAAACCCAGACGUGAGGGAGAGUUUUAAAUAUAAAAAUAUAUAAAUAUUGUUAUCUAACAAUUUAAACUUUUAGCCCUCGUUUGGUUGGGGGUUAAGGGGUGGAAUAACCCCUUAACCCCCAUUUUAUCCCCAAACACCCCAAAAAAUAGAUGGGGUUAGCUAACCCCACCUCAAAUAAAUUAUCCCGGAUUAGCUAAACCCACCUAACCCCACCAAACUCCAACCAAACACUAUUUUCUAUUCAUAAUAACCCACUAUCUUUCUUAUCACACCUACUCCAACCAAUCAUUAUCUUUUUUUAUCAAUCAUUAUCUUCUUAUCCCACCUACUCCAACCAAACACUAUUUUUCAUUAUUCUAGACUAACUUCAACCCCCAACCAAACACAAAAAAAUUUUAACCCCACUUUAACCCUGAACUUAACCCUAUCUCUGGAAUAGCUACUUUUUCCUUAACCCCGAACCAAAUGGAGGUAGAGUAUAACGGUUGUUUCACACGAAGCAUAUAAUUUGCUGUCUCUCUCUUAAAAUAAAGAAAAUUAUAGGAAUGCUGUGUGAAAUAAGAAUUUAAGUGUCUAUCGGUACGGACCGUAUCUAUUUUGCUAUAUCGUGCCAACAAAAUAUCAACAUGAUACAGUUCUUGUGCCGAUGGCACAACUAAAAAUCCUCUAUUCUUUAAAUUCGUAAGUAUUUUUCUCAAUAAAAUUUAAAAUAUUUGAUAAAAAUAGAUAAUAAACAGUAAGUAUAUUUUGUUGCUAAAAAAAAUAAAUAUUUUAUAUUAUUAUGUGUCGGCACACAUAAAUUUUUUGUGACCAGUACAAUCCGGCACGCACCGUGUCGUACCGUAUCGGUAAAUUUCUGGCACGAUUCUGUGCCGCGAAACUUAAAUUCUUGAUACAGUGAGUAAUUUCUCCAAAGAGUUGGAAACUUUUCUUUUUCUUUGGGUUAAAAAUAAAUUAAAGAACUGGUAGAUACAGAUCCUUUCAGCCGAGAAUGUAGGAAGGUUCGGAGGAAUUCUACACUGUCACACUUGCACCACGUCAUCAAUAACAAGCCAAUCACAUUCCUUCAUUUUAAACAAAAGUACAAUAAAAAUACUUUUUUACAAUCAUGAUGGGACAUAUAUUCUUAAAAGGAUUAAUUUGAUUGGUUUGUUACGCCACGUCACUAAUAUACCCGUUGCAUU
This 1309-nucleotide long non-coding RNA is filed under the name Ananas comosus (pineapple). Its description in RNAcentral is "long non-coding RNA (ACOM_LNC021358)". The record is from RNAcentral. Lineage: Eukaryota; Viridiplantae; Streptophyta; Magnoliopsida; Poales; Bromeliaceae.